This 279-nucleotide ribosomal RNA is filed under the name uncultured bacterium. Its description in RNAcentral is "partial 16S ribosomal RNA". It matches the Rfam family "Bacterial small subunit ribosomal RNA", at positions 506 to 784 of the family's 1533-position model. The record is from RNAcentral.
UGCCAGCCGCCGCGGUAAUACGAAGGUGGCGAGCGUUGUUCGGAUUUACUGGGCGUAAAGAGCACGUAGGCGGUUAGGUAAGCCUCUUGGGAAAUCUCCCGGCUCAACCGGGAAAGUUCGAGGGGAACUACUUAGCUAGAGGACGGGAGAGGAGCGCGGAAUUCCCGGUGUAGCGGUGAAAUGUGUAGAUAUCGGGAAGAAGGCCGGUGGCGAAGGCGGCGCUCUGGAACGUACCUGACGCUGAGGUGCGCAAGUGUGUGGAGCAAACAGGAUUAGAUA